UGCUGCUGACCUAAUUGAGCAGCCUCGACGUUCAGUCGUUUGAGGCUCGCGUUACGCACUCGCCUGGUUUCGGCUCGGAUUAACCUCUGAAAAGGACUCUAACAAUUAGUGGAACAAUGACAGUAGGAAAGGCCUCGUCCUCCCCCCCCCCCCCCCCCCCGAGGGGGGGCGCAUGCCAAAAAAAAAAAAUCAUUAGCAACAAUAUACAAAAGGAUAUUGCACCCAGACAUGUGAUGGAAACCCCGCCCUGCUAUUCUACAUUAACCUAGUGUUUAGGACGCUCAGUAGUUACGUCACUGCUGCUAUGAGAAUGUGCCUUCCUCCUUCCUGCUGAUGGAUCUGCAGUGAUGAGGCCCCGCUGGGUGGUCCUUAUCUGGGAGUCAGGAAACAGGGCCAGACCUAUAAACACCCCACUCACCGCAGAGGAAGCACCCGUGUAGAGAAACCACACCCCGAGUCGCUGCGAAGGAGCACGGGCAGAAAGAAAACAACUGGAACACGGCCGAAAAGACCGGCGUGUUCCAGUAAACAGCGGCGCGUCUGCGCCGCGCCGACGACGUGCGCUCCCUGAGUCACAUCAUCUGCUUAGCAACACGCACGCCGGGGGAGAGCAGGACAGCGCUGUGAUUGGGGGAGACGAGGACCCUCAGGACACGGAGCGCUAAUUGCGGCGCUGUUUUUCUCCUCCGCUUUUUAACAGUAGGCCGGCCACAGAAAAGGGGUUGCAUAACAGGAUUUCAUAGCAAACGCCCCUCCUCUUCUGUGACUCCCCCCCCCCCCCCAACACACACACACACACCCUCUUCCUAGCAAAUCUCUUCCUCUCCAUCCUCUCAUAACAGCUGGAGCCGAGCCAGAUGGUUCUGGGGCUAUUUUAAAGAUUACAGACAGACAGGAGAGGCAGAGAUUCUGGUCUUUUCCAUGUUUUUACCUCCAUUGUACAAAGUGCACCUUUAUUGCUGAAGCCCUUUUGUUGAUUGGUGUGGAGGUGUCAGCGCUGACCCCACCGGGGCCUCAGUGUGGCGAGCCCUUUGUGCCGCAGAGCUGGAGGAGCGGCUUCCAUAUUGGGACAACAUGUGCCGCGACCUCUGACCCCUCGCUCGGAGGCGGCGGCUCCGGAGCACCCGGAGAUUCGCUCUACGGCAGCACAAAGCAUUCCAGGCUCGCACACGUCUACAAAUAAGAGGAACAGAAAACAUGUUGGCACUGGCAGCCAGUGCACACAUGCACACCAACUGUUACUUUUUGUUCGGUCGCUCCUCCGGGCCAAAAAUUACACAUGCAAGUGUUUUGCUGUCUGACGGGGGCAGGGCAGACUUGGCUGGGGGAGCUGAGAAUAUUUGCAACACACACACGCACGCACGCACGCACGCACACACACACACACACACACACACACACACACACGGUGAUCUCACUCUGUGAGGGAAGGCGACCACCAAGUAUUUGUUGCCACGGGCCGAGAGUGUGUGUGUGUGUGUGUGUGUGUGUGUGUGUGUGUGUGUGGGAUCGGCAUUGGGGGUGGGAUUUGUUUUGCUUUGUGGGAGACGGGAGUGGGAAUUAAACAUAGUUGUUGGAUGAGUUUUUCGCUCAGUACAGUUUCCACAUAGUCCCGGAGAAAACAAAGAAGUGUUACGCAACGCUAAUGUUACUCAACCCUAAUUAUGGUGUUUCGUACGAACGCGAGGAAGAGCGCCGCGCUGCCAGGGUGUGUGCUGCACAGUCACCGCGCGUGCAGUGGGAACCUACAACCAAAUGCACAACUAUUUUGAUACUAUGGGCACAAAAGCGGGCUCCGCGACGUGCACGCUCGCGUGCGGGAGCGCACGUCCCCGGGAACACGUUGCAUGUUUGCACGGCUACGUCUGCCGUCCACGAUAACGCUCGAGUGACGCCCGGCGCGCUGAGCGGGAUCUGAUGUUUGUGUGCCCGGCGAGCGGGGGAUAAGUACAGUCCAGAAAUAGAAAUGUUUCAUGAAAACAUGAGAAUGGAGCGCGGCUCCACUGUAGGGGCCAGUUUCAUAAUCGCCCCCGGAGGAACCCGGGCCUGUCUGUUCCGUUCCCGCUCCCAUUUCGCCCCGAUUCGCCUCUGCAGCUCAAACGCGUUUAACCCAGUGUCAGCUCAGACUACUCCUCUCCUGUCAGGUUGCGUUUGCUGCAGCAGAGCGGAGGUCUCUUUUUUUUUUUUUUUUCCUGUCUGGGAAGUGGCGUGAACGCCGCCGCUGUGACGACGACUGAUUUCCAGCACAGGCAGCGGCGAUGGCCUCCCCUCUUCCGGAUCCCGUUCGCAGUGAAGCGCGUGUGUGAGUGUGCGAGGUGUGGCCGCCCGCAGAGGGGUUCCAGAGGAAGUGAGCUGCCGUGACCCGCCGCCGUCUGACUCACAACGCUCCCGAGCGUUCUCGCAGCGCUCGCGCCGGCUCACGGACUCCUCUUCUGGCAGGACUCCUUCGACCGGACUCGUCAGGGCUCACGGCGCAACGGAGAAUGUUUAUGUAAGCGGCCAGAAAUAGGCGGCGCGCGUUGUCGCGUUUAAUGUGAGUGACGAUGUCCCUGCACGGAGUCGAGCCACUUCUCAACUUUAUCAGACUCCUCUUCGUUCCUGUGCCAAAUUUCAAGGCGAUUCAUUUUAAAGGAUUUGGGCUAAUUUGAGCCGCUUAACCAGCGUUGCCGUGACCACCAGCACGACAUCCAUCGCCCCACACACGACUCCCAGUACUAAGCAUCACGGCGCACACUGUGACGACUCAGGCGCAAAAUUGAAUAACAUAUUUUAUAAUAUGAACGAGCAGCAUCUUCCGGCACACGCCGCGUUAUUACUGCAGAGCCGGGCGGUGAAUUCCGGAGGGGUGUCUCUGCUGACCUGACAUAAUGCCCCUUUCAUUACAUGCACAUAUUGAAUAUGUAAACUGUCCCGCGCGCACAAUGCGGCAUUUUCAAUAAAGUGAAAGCCAUACAUUAGAGCGCGAGCUGUUAAUCAGCGGGCGCUCUCGCCUGCGUGCAGACGGGCCGGUGCGACGCAGGUCCAACAGGAAGGUUCUGUGUGAUGCCGAGGGUGGAAUUGGUUUAUUGAGCUCACGAUUGGAGCCACUUCAGCCCCAGACUAAAGCAGAGUUAUUGUUCUUCUUUGUUCCCGUUAAACAGUCCACGUUAGAAGGAAAAACCGAUGCGCCGCAUGACAAACGACCAAUCAAACCCCACCUCUGCUCGCACGUCGCCGCCGCAACGUGCGAGCGCGGCCCGGCUCCAGCCUGAGCACCGGAUCAAUACUCAGCCAGACCAAUAGGCUUAUUAGAGCUGAAUGGCGAACAAAGCCGAUUAGCCGUCUCUCCGCGCCGAAAAGGUCACCGGCUCCAAGGUCACCGCGGAGCCGCCGGCCGGCCGGCCUCGGCGUCUCAGCACGUAUAAUUAGCAGAAUUAGACAGUGGGAACAUUAAUCAGCACUAUCUCUGCUCGCUCUGAACCAUGCGCAAUCCCGCGGACUUAGCCGCGUUUAGCUCCAACAACGCCGCUAGCUCUCCUGCGAAAAGCUGCCUCUUGAACCCGCUACGCGCAUCGCUAAUUAGCCCGACGAUAAGACCCGCGCUUAAAAGAAAGAUUAAUAGGAAGCUGCGCUCAGAAAUGUGUUGGAAAUGUCAACGAGCGGCGCAACUGUUCAUUUCCAAGUGUUGCUGCGGACAGAGGUGAGCGCUGACGGCGGGUCUGCGGCCGUCAAUGGAGCCAGUGUCCUCCAGUCAAAGGCUGCGGCAUUAAUGGAGAAGCCGCUUGGCUCGGUUUUGUUACCUUUUUACCAAAGAACAUGUCUGGUGAGCUGCCAAGAGACACUCGAGACUUUGUGAGCUCUGCCUCUAUAGGUGGUGUAAGGCUGCAUACAUGGGGGGAAUGAAAGAGACUUAUUCAUGCCUUCGGAGUCAUUUCAUGAUGAUGGGAACCAGAGGCUGCAUAAAUCUUUUUAAUCAGCAGCUUAUAGGCUUUCAGCGACUAGCAUAACUGUUCACUGGUGUGUAUACUGAGUUACUUAACAGCUUAUUUGCUUACAUUCAGAUGCAGUUAUUGAUGAUUAUUGACUCUUGCAUAAAACAAAUGGGACAAAAACAAAGGAGGCGGUUUCCGCCCAGUGAAAGGAGGUAAGACAAACACUGUGGCUUUCACGUGAAAACACAGAUGACUGUGUUGGAUUAGAAACGCAACGUUUCCAUGAGCCCCACACAUGUGACCACCAUCCUGAGACCGAAGAUGAAUGGGCUGCUCUUUCUCCUUUUUCAACGAGAUACGGGGCCUUGUGGGUUUUGAUCCCCCGCCUUGUGAAUAGAAGCCUCUCUGCUACAGUCCCUGUCCUGAAACCCAGUACUAAUGUGGGGGGGUAUGACCGCCUUGGUCCAUACAAAGGCCAUCUUUGACUGGGAGGCCUGUAAUGAUUUGGAGACGGGAGUGGAGCAGAGGCCAGGGGAAUAUCUGAUGACUCAGAGGCUGUGAAUGCAACUGUACACGGCUGUGUGAUUAAUGGAUGCAGCAUCAUCGCAGACUGGCCUUCAACCAGAGCUCUGAGAUCACCACCUCCACUCCUCCCCUUCGUCUUAUGUGGUGUGGAGCAGCCCAGGUUCAUCUGCGAGGAGGAAACAUAUACUUCACCAUGGAGAUUAUUUCCUUCCACACGUCAUCUGGGCAGCAGCUUUACAGCCAGCGAGGUGGUCAGAAACUGUGCGAGGCCUUAUUGAUCUGGAGCCUUAUGUCUCGUGUGCUGGCUCAGGGUUUAUUUGCAGCUGCUGUUACUGGAAACGGAUCCCUGGAGCGGUCUAGAUUCAGCUGAUCCAAUUAAAUGCUGUGAAUAAUUGAUCUGACAGUGAAACCGAGCUAUGUCACAUGGGGACAGUGACAUCAUCAUUUACGGGUUGAAACCCUACCCCUGUGCAGCUGGACUGCCCCGGGCCGUUUGUUCCACAAUCAGUCCACAGGAUCUUAUUACCACCUGUGAAGGACACGGACACGGAAACACACACACACACACACACACACACACACACACACACACACACACACACACACACACACACACUGAGCGGAAGGGGUGAUAACAAUGACAUUAUGCCGCACAGGAAAACUACAGGAGCACGAGAGACUUACUGGAAGGCCGACAACCCGUGAUGUUGUCACAUGUCUGUCCUGAGGUCUCCGAGUUCAGUGAGGUGUAGAUCCGGUCAGGUUAAACAGAACUUUCAGUGUUUCCUUGUUCAGUCUUUAUUUUAUCCCACAACGUUGCAGUCGCGUGAGCUGCUCUGCAUUGCGUGCAACGACGCCUGUUUCUAAACAAGACCUCCAUUUGAACCACAUGGACUUUGCGGUGGUCAAUUAUCUUCCUGGCCCUGAAAUCAGGUGCAAAUAGGAGCCAUCUUUGACCCCGGCCCUGCAGGAAGCUUGGGCUGCAAUAUCUAAUGAAAGCCCCUCCAGAGGGGUCUGCUGCUGCCACACAUCACCUUCUUAUCUAGAUCUGCGCCACAAAAAGGAAAACAAGGUUGUUCAACAUCCAACAUCUUGUCUGGAUUAGACUUGAAUUUUUGGGCAAGAAUUCUGGGCGGUUGGAACCCACGUUCCCUGAGUCCUCUGAGUUUCUGGCUGCUCCUGCUCAUGCUGGGUCGGUCCUUCUGAGCCGCUCACCCGACGGAGGUCUUUGUUUCACAGUGUCGUUCCCAGGUUUUGUCUUUUAGCCGCGUGAGAGGUGUGACAUUCGCCGAAGGGCUCUCUAAUGGGAUGAUGGCUCCCCUCCAGGAAAGUAAGAUCCUGUAGCGGUACCAGUCUGAUGGGGGGAAAGAUGAGAAGAUCACCACCACCUGUUCAGGAAUUCACUAGACUGCAUUUUCUUUUCUGGUUCAUUCCGUGAAGCCAACCUCACACCGUUGUUAGAUCUGAGGGGUGGUUUAGCAAUCAACCCACUGUAGCUCAGCAGCAGGAGCAUCUUGCCUCUCAUUCUGAACAUCUGCCAAUGCACGCGUCUACAUUAACGAUUAACACCUUAUGCCUCAUGAGUUUCAUCCGUCAAUCAGCACAAAGUCCAGUAUGUCGCCGCGCACACACACACAUUACACAUUACAGCAUUUCCACUUGCAGCAGCCACCAGUGAGACGUGAGGUGGAACGAAAUCUUUCGAGCAACACGCUGACAUGAGCUCGACCUCCCAAGAAAGGUCAUUUGGUGUUACCGUGGCAACAGAGAACACCACUGGUAUGUUAAAAAGGUAGUGAGGAGGGGCACUAAAUCCAAGGCUGUGGAAUUUCAGAGGGCGGGUGAUGCAUGCUGAAUAUUAAGAUACUCUCUCUCUAAACGCUCCUCUGUUCAUUACACCGGUCUGAUGUUCCAUAAGCAUUAACAUCUGUUAAAGCCCAGGACGCGCCACGACACAUCCAGCUCUCUGGACGAGCCGGGUAUUUUUAGACACGUACUCAUUAGUGCUGAGAGAUCAUUUGUAAUGAAGGACGUGUGGGGAGAAGGAAGCCAAUAACACGGUGAAAGAUGGUGUCCAUAUUCAAAUACCUGAGGAGCGAGUGGGUUUAACAGGCGCUGCAACGAGUGGAGGUGAGAUGUGAGGGGCAGGCCAAUCAAAGAUUUUCAGAGGAGGAUUGCAGUAAAAUACACGGGGCAAGGUCAAGGAAAUUAUACAGCACGGCCUGCAUUAUCCCAGAGCUUCUGAAACAUGGACAACACAUGCAGCCUCUGACUAAUUACAUGUUGCCUGGACUGGGAUCAGACCUAUUGUUCCUGCUGGGAUCAACAUUCCUCCAGUAACACGGCCGCGAUUCAAAUGAGCUCGUUGGUUUUAUGAACAGGGGGACAGUCAUUCAGAAUCACGCCUGGUGUCGAUUGAUGGACUCUGCUAAUUGAGAGCUGUCCAUACAUUCCUCUCUGAGGUGAUAUAUAUAUAUGUAUCCUGCAGUCAACAUGUAGCCUGUGUCCUGUUUUGGUCAUACAAUGGUGGUAGUGAAUUUUUUGGGGUUUUAUCGUUUUUUCUACAAUAGGAUUUUGAUUUAAUUUGCUGUAGGAGGGACAGUGAAAUGUGAUCUGUCUUCUUCCGUAGGUAGAAGUUAGAUUGAGUAAGAAUAUAGUGCCUUUGUCUCACCAAGUGAGGACACAAACACAGAUGGGGUGGUAGACAGCUCCACAGCUUCCCCUCAUCCAGCUCUCACAAGAUGUAGCCUGGUACAACAGUGCCCCCUGGAGGCCACGCUGGGUUUUACACAAACAGUGAACUUAAGGCAACCAAGGGCAAAUCCAGGUGUUUCUACAGAUUGAAAAUUAUUCCCAACAUAAUGUUUGUGUAAUGUCAUUAUCACGGUGUAAUUAGCUGAGCGUAUUUUCUAAUUACAAGGUGAUGCACUGAAUGCUAAAUGUGACAAAGAGAAAGACGACCGAGCAGCAGAAGUCAAGCAGGAGUCUGUUUUACUGAGCCCUGGUUGUUUGGUUGUUUGGCAGGAAACUUUACUGGCAUGUGGGUUCAGUCAUUGUUCUCCCAGGAAUCCAGCAGAUGGGGGAGAAACACAAUGAGGAGCCCAGAAGGGCAUACACUUAUGGCACAUAAAACCAUAAUAUUGUAUUGUAUAUGAAGGACCAAUUGUCUUAAAAAAACAGGAACCAACUAAAAGAAGAAAAAAGACGGUGUUUAAUACAGCAUGUUAUAAUUUGGAGAUUUGUUUUAUCAUAUUUGAUGUACAUGAGGCUCAUAACAAUCGCUUAAAUUCAUUAACAAAAUCACAAUAAUUUUACCAGUGUCACAGAGUGAAAUUUAUUAAGGUUCACUUCUUUCUUUCUUGCUAUUCUUCAUACCUCAGACAGAUUUUUCACAGUAAAAGUUCUCACUCAGAAUCACGACAAGAAUUGUCAUAGCUACCCAGUUAAUUCUAACACAACUCUAAUACCCAAAUACAAGUGGCAUCAGUCUCAUCAGUUGUCCUCUUGCAAACCUGCACAGACGAUAACUUUGUUUCUUUAAGCAGAUGAAACAAGAUAAAUUAGUUCUAGUGAUUCUGUCACGCAGGCGAGAUGCCAUGAACAGAAACGUAUGCAGGGGGCCGUCGCUGAAAGACUGUAGAGACAUGUGAUGUCAGCAAUCAAUACGGCUCCUUUGUCCAUGUCCAUCACUGGAGAUAAUACGGAGCAUUAAAAAAGCUCUUAGGAGCAGCAGCAUCUGUAAUGUUCUCCGCAGAAUGACAUGCCUGUAAUGAUAAAGCCCAGCAUGCGCUCAUACAGUCAAUAGUGCUUAGAGACCUUAAUGGUGAGUGUGAUUCAGACCACAGGGUGUUGAUUUCUGGGAAGAAGGGAGUCCAGAGCCAGAUGGCCACGCGGAGCCCGGUUCCCCUACGAGGCUUCACGCGCAACAAGAAAUCCAUUUAGGAGGAGGCGCUCUGAGGGUAAUGCCACUAAUUUGGGUCUGACGAGGAACACGGGAGCCGGCGACGAGAACCUUCGCCCGUCCCUAAAAGGAUCUCGCAGAGCCCAGAUGUGCUCGAUUCAGCUGUGUUUAUCCCUAGAGGUGCUUUUAAGAGGACGUGUUAUCAGGUUAUACACAGCGCACGGCGGCGAGAAAAGUCUUUAUUACAUUCACCAAACAGCUUCUUUAUUGUGUGGAACAAAAUGAGAGAAUGGAAGCAGACACUGACCUUCUCUCACGCGUGCAACACUAAGAUCUGUGUAAAACUACUGCAAAGUAACACAUCAGAUGUUUGUUUGUCUCCAGGGAGAACCACAGCCAGGCAUGUGUGACUUUUACAUUUAGAAUUAGAAACAAAAGCUUAACAACCAGUUUGACGCAAGUGUCCAGGAUGGUUUUGUUUCCAAUAAUUAUUUCUGGCUGAGCAGCUGAGAUUGUUUUUCUUAAUGCCACAUUUUAUGUCAGUUUAUGAAGUAAUUAGUUUAAAUGGAAUGUUUCAUUAUUGGUCUGUAAAAUUCUCCAGUCGCAUACCAGUAGUAUUUCUUUCUGUUCUUUUGUUUUUUGUUGACAUCAUAUGGAAAUAUGGUUGGAAAUUGGUGUAAAUUGGUCUGAAAUAGUAAAUGUAUAAAUAAUUAAAAAAUAUAUAUAGUAUAAAAUAAUAAUAGCAUAAUCAUCAGCUGAAACCAUGCUGAAAUAAAAAAGUUAAAAAAGCAAAGAUUCUCAGGCUGAAAAACAAAAAUGUCUGGUAUUAACAUUAAAAUGUAUUAUUUUAGUAUUAUUAUUAAACUGGUAUUACUGGUAUUUGAGCUAAUAUAAGCAUUACGGGGGCAGCCUUGGAUUCACCUGAUGACCUCACAACUGUAGCACCAGCAAAAAUAAUGAUGUGUUGUGUUUUACCACACGGACUAUAAUAUACUGGUGAGAACACAUAACAGAGCAACACCCACCUGACGUUUAACGCAGAGUAUUGUUACUGCAGCAGAGAGAAAGAGAAAGCUACUCCCAGCCCACAGUGAAGACAACCCAGCAGCCCACACAGCUCCCAGGGCCAUGACUAAGCCCAGUUUACAGGGACCCACAGAGCCACAGAUGCAGCCAUCCAGGUAUCGCCCACUCACACCUGUGUGUGUGUGUGUGUGUGUGUGUGUGUGUACGGUUCAUUUAUAGAGACCAGGAGAACUCAUCACAGGUUUGAAAUGAUGGAUUUUAAAAGGUUGAAGUCAUCAGCUGAAGGGGGUUGAGCAGUGAGUGAGUGAGUAGGUGUAUCUCAGUAAUGUGGAGCAGAUUGACUAGAUAACAAAUGAAAACUUGAUGAUUGGUUACUUAAUCACUCAGCGAGCUGAGUUCCGUGUUCUUGUUUGGAAACUACAGAUAUAUGAAUUCAUUAUAUGCAUGAUUAAUUAGGCAGCCAACAUCUAAAUACAUAAGCUAAUGUUAGCAGACAUAACAGCAUCAUAUUAUCUUACUUGUAUUCAAAUAUGAGCACCAACCUGUUUUUAUACAGUUCAUGUUGCACGCGACCUGAGGUGACCUUUCACUCCAGCGUGCGCGCUCGCGCCUGGGUUUCCAGCUGUCGAGCGCAAGGCGAGCGGCUGAUUGCAGCCACACUGGACACAAGUCCCCCCGAGCGGCGAGCGGAGGGGUGGGCGUGCGGGCGUCGAGGCAGAGCAGAUAAACGGACGGAGCCGUCCCAGAGGCGUGCGGGCGCUCUGUCAGGGCACGGCGUCCAAGCGCUGGCCUCCUCGCUCUGUCGCCGCCUUUGUUCCUGUCCUGGUCUCCCGGCGCUUUCAUCCCCCCCCCCCCUCCUCUCCUGUAGGUGACUGUGUGAUUACUACUGACACGGGGCGGAAGAGGCAAGCGUGCAUCUGCAAACGCGACAGAAGAAAUGCACUUGUGCCCAUUCACACUUGGCUUCUUCUCCUCCUCACGUCUGGUCCCGGCGCCAUCGCGCCGCUUCAAUUAUCGCCGCUUAUCCUUUAAAUAAUGCAUCUGAGUCCCUCUCUUUGAUCCCGGCAGGGCUGAAUAUUUCACUUGGUGGACUGCAGAGUCUUUAAUAGCAUCCGUCUCCCUUUGCAGGGUCUGUGUGGAAGCAGUUACCUCCCAGUCUGAGACCUGCCUGUAGCCUAGUGUUUACUACUGCUGUGACAUAUUAAUGGCGGCAAUGAGGACGACGCUCCGUCCUUGAUUUGAAAGCAUCCUUGCGGCAGUAAACAACAUUAGCGCUGCUGGCGGCAGUGCUCAUGAGCAGCCUUCAUCUCCUGCACCAGUCACAGGUGAAGGCGAAGCUCCGACAUCAACCAGUGCAGUUUAUAUUUCUAUUUUAAGUCCAUCCAUUUUUCUCUCUCUCUCUCUCUCCUCCGUCUCUUUCUCGGCGUUGUCUCCCGAGGAAUCCGUCCUAGCAUCACGAUUGCAUCACUUCACACCGUCUCUCCUCCGGGCGUGAAAUCGGCACAACAGCUGGGCUGUCAGGAGAACGGGGAGCAUCGUUUCAGAGGAGCCUCCCGACGCGCCGCCGCUGAGCCGCUGAACUCCAGAUGGGGUCGGCUCCUUCUCUUAUUAAAGAUUUAACAGGUUUGGGGGAGGAUGGCAUGUAGGAGUCAUAGCGAGGAUCUCAUCAUCUGCUCUGCUGCCGGAGCUGAUUCAUUGUGACUUGAAUAAACAUUAGGUGUUUCUGUCUGAA
Molecule: long non-coding RNA, 11095 nt
Organism: Betta splendens (Siamese fighting fish)
Lineage: Eukaryota; Metazoa; Chordata; Actinopteri; Anabantiformes; Osphronemidae
Exons: 2
Source: RefSeq, a predicted model, not a curated record